Long non-coding RNA from Theobroma umbraticum, 724 nucleotides. RefSeq lists it as uncharacterized. The record is from RefSeq and is a predicted model, not a curated record. NCBI's taxonomy places the organism in Eukaryota, Viridiplantae, Streptophyta, Magnoliopsida, Malvales, Malvaceae.
UUCUCUUGCUUUGGACUAUAUUGCACAAAAAUGUCAAGAAUGGUUUUAGAUCACGUUGAGACGAGACGCAAAAAGAAUAGAUAAAAACAGGUUUCUUAUGCGCAUGCAUUUGAAAAAAAAUUCAAAAGGGUAUUGUUUUUGAGGCUGAAAAGAAAGGGGGGAGGCAUUUCUGUUCCAACUCACAUGAACGCCACAGUAUAAUUUUGGUCCCUAGUGUUAGCAAAUGCCAAAAUUGUGGUCCUCAAUUUCAUGCUAAAAGUUGCUUUCACUAUGAUUUUGGCUAAGCCACAGUUCUGAUACUGGAAAAGUUGAAAUGAAAGUGGGAUGCUUUGACAGACACAAGAGAACACAUCACGAAAACUAAGUCGCUGCCAUGUCCACAAAAUCUGCAUUCUCGUACAAAUUAUUAUAUGAUGAAACACCCCAUGCAUCUUUGGAUAUUGAGGCAUCAAGUUCUUCAUUCCAACACAAGAAGUUUGAACCAGAACCCAAGAGAGCCUCUCUCUUCCUGAAUCAGAUUUCGAUAAAGUGAGUAACCAAUAAAAAAACAGGAUUACGGAUGCUGUUUGGUGCAAUGCCUGCCUGUUCUUUGUCCUGGUGUAUUUCAUUUGCUUUUGUUCCUCGGUUGCUGUAAUUUGUCUGUAGCUUGACUGGUUUUCACCAGUCUCUCCCUUACAUCGUACGUGUUCAAUACCUUAAUAAAAUUAUUGGCUAUGUAUACCAA